This 414-nucleotide ribosomal RNA is filed under the name uncultured microorganism. Its description in RNAcentral is "bacterial SSU rRNA". It matches the Rfam family "Archaeal small subunit ribosomal RNA", at positions 459 to 872 of the family's 1478-position model. The record is from RNAcentral.
CAGCCGCCGCGGUAAUACCGGCGGCCCGAGUGGCGGUCACUAUUAUUGGGCUUAAAGCGUCCGUAGCCAGGUUGGGAAGUCCUCCGGGAAAUCUGGCCGCUUAACGGUCAGAAUGCCGGAGGAUACUCCCAGCCUAGGGAGCGGGAGAGGCCGAGGGGAUUCCCGGAGUAGGGGUGAAAUCCUAUAAUCCCGGGAGGACCACCUGUGGCGAAGGCGCUCGGCUGGAACGCGUCCGACGGUGAGGGACGAAGGCCAGGGGAGCAAACCGGAUUAGAUACCCGGGUAGUCCUGGCUGUAAACGAUGCGGACUUUGUGUCGGACAAGCUAUGAGCUUGUCCGGUGCCGGAGGGAAACCGUUAAGUCCGCCGCCUGGGGAGUACGGCCGCAAGGCUGAAACUUAAAGGAAUUGGCGGG